GUACUGUGGGGAAUUGUCCGACGAGGAUGGGAUUCGAACCCACGCGUGCAGAGCACAAUGGAUUAGCAGUCCAUCGCCUUAACCACUCG
Non-coding RNA from Ceratotherium simum simum (southern white rhinoceros), 89 nucleotides. The record is from RefSeq and is a predicted model, not a curated record. NCBI's taxonomy places the organism in Eukaryota, Metazoa, Chordata, Mammalia, Perissodactyla, Rhinocerotidae.